Molecule: ribosomal RNA, 440 nt
Filed under: uncultured bacterium
Lineage: Bacteria
Description: partial 16S ribosomal RNA
Rfam family: Bacterial small subunit ribosomal RNA
Source: RNAcentral
CCUACGGGUGGCAGCAGUGGGGAAUAUUGCACAAUGGGGGAAACCCUGAUGCAGCGACGCCGCGUGAGUGAAGAAGUAUUUCGGUAUGUAAAGCUCUAUCAGCAGGGAAGAAAAUGACGGUACCUGAUUAAGAAGCCCCGGCGAACUACGUGCCAGCAGCCGCGGUCAUACGGAGGGGGCACGCGUUCUCCGGAUGUACGGGGGGUAAAGGUAGCGUAGGCGGCAGCACAAGUCUGGAGGGAAAUGCCGGGGCUUAAACCCGGAACUGCUUUGGAAACUGGGCAGCUAGAGUGCAGGAGAGGGAAGUGGAAUUCCUAGUGUAGCGGUGAAAUGCGUAGAUAUUAGGAGGAACAUCGGUGGCGUAAGCGCUUUACUGGGCCGUAAUUGACGCUGAGGAACGAAAGCCAGGGUAGCAAAUAGGAUUAGAUACCCGGGUAGUC